UGAAUUCUAUUUACGGAAGGUGUGGAACAUAAGUCCUUGCACACGCUAGAUUUAAAUGAAAAUCUCAAUACUCCGUACUAAGCAAUUUGUAUGAGAGUCGAUUGAAAUUCUUUUGCUUCAUAGCCACUCCAUCACAAAUCUAUAUAAGUAAUGCUUGAAUACACAGAUUAAUACGAUAUAUGGCUAUCUCUGAGAUGUAUUUUUAUAUUAUAUAUAUGCUAGAUUGAUGAUAAGAUUGUAUAUACUACUAAAGUGUAGCCGUGGAUGAUAAAAAGUGGCGUUUAUAUUCUGACCUGUAUCAUAUCUAAGAAAUAAUGAUAUGAAAAUAAAAAUCGAUUCUAUCAAGAGAUAAAUGAGAUAUCUAGCUCUCUUACUUACACCUAUUUUUUGAAUUGAUAUGGUUGUUUAGUUAUUCUCAUUCAAAGACUUCUCAAAAAAAAAAAAAAAAAAACCAUAACUGCGGAUUAGUGACA
RNAcentral lists this small RNA (473 nucleotides) under Histoplasma capsulatum. Its description in RNAcentral is "hypothetical RNA". Lineage: Eukaryota; Fungi; Ascomycota; Eurotiomycetes; Onygenales; Ajellomycetaceae. RNAcentral also lists the same sequence under 1 other name. The record is from RNAcentral.